CACAGAGCAGCAAACUUCACUCAGCAAAGACCUUUUUUGCUACAGGUGGAAGAACGUGAAGUUGUUGACAUGAAGCUGGAGCUGCUGGUGGUGUUGGCAGUGGUGGUUCUGCUGCCCAGCCUGUCCGAGGGUCGGAUUGUCUCCAAAUGCGAGCUGAGAGAAAAGCUUGACCAGGCACUCAUCCUGCCUGAAAGCCUUCAAAAGUUCAGGGAGAAAAUCCUGAAAAUAGUUAUCUGUGAGGCAAAUAGGAGGUCCCAUCUGAACACCGGCCUGGUCAGGGUCUUUGGCAAGCGCAGAACUACAACAGCCAGGCCAACAACUGCAGUCACAACUACCACACCAACAACUACCCAACCAACGACUACCCAACCAACGACUACCCAACUAAUG
Non-coding RNA from Epinephelus lanceolatus (giant grouper), 390 nucleotides. The record is from RefSeq and is a predicted model, not a curated record. NCBI's taxonomy places the organism in Eukaryota, Metazoa, Chordata, Actinopteri, Perciformes, Serranidae.